CAUCAUUAUUUGUGGAUUUGACGAGUUGGCCAGAUCAUUGCUCAACUUCUUUCUGAGCGACUGAUCCCUUUUGUUGCUCUAGACGUGAGAAGUGAUAGAGUGGCAGUUGGUCGUGCUCUGGAUCUCCCUGUAUACUUUGGAGAUGCCGGUAGUCGUGAGGUCCUACACAAGAUGGGGCUGAAAGAGCGUGUGCUGCAGCAGUAACUCUAGAUUCUCCUGGUGCAAAUUAUCGAACAGUUUGGGCUCUGAGCAAAUACUUCCCAAAUAUAAAGACUUUCGUUCGAGCUCAUGAUGUUGAUCAUGGCUUGAAUUUAGAAAAGGCUGGAGCUACUGCUGUUGUACCGGAGACCCUGGAACCAAGUCUUCAGCUAGCAGCUGCUGUACUUGCUCAGGCUAAACUUCCCACGUCAGAGAUUGCAUCAGCUAUAAAUGAAUUCAGAUCCCGGCAUCUAGCUGAGCUUGCUGAGCUGUGUGAAACAAGUGGCAGUUCUCUUGGCUAUGGAUUUAACCGAAUAGCGAGCAAAUCCAAAUCUCAAUCCUUAGAUUCAUUGGAGGACAACCAAAUCUCCGAAGGGACAUUGGCAAUAUGAAGAUUGCCUUUUGAUAGAAUUUUU
Neltuma alba is the source of this 614-nucleotide long non-coding RNA. RefSeq lists it as uncharacterized. The transcript has 7 exons. The record is from RefSeq and is a predicted model, not a curated record. Lineage: Eukaryota; Viridiplantae; Streptophyta; Magnoliopsida; Fabales; Fabaceae.